RNAcentral lists this ribosomal RNA (253 nucleotides) under uncultured bacterium. RNAcentral's name for it is "partial 16S ribosomal RNA". It matches the Rfam family "Bacterial small subunit ribosomal RNA", at positions 524 to 776 of the family's 1533-position model. The record is from RNAcentral.
UACGGAGGGAGCUAGCGUUGUUCGGAAUUACUGGGCGUAAAGCGCACGUAGGCGGCUUAUCAAGUCAGGGGUGAAAUCCCGGAGCUCAACUCCGGAACUGCCUUUGAAACUAGAUGGCUUGAAUCUUGGAGAGGCGAGUGGAAUUCCGAGUGUAGAGGUGAAAUUCGUAGAUAUUCGGAAGAACACCAGUGGCGAAGGCGACUCGCUGGACAAGUAUUGACGCUGAGGUGCGAAAGCGUGGGGAGCAAACAGG